This 872-nucleotide ribosomal RNA is filed under the name Alkalicoccobacillus gibsonii. RNAcentral's name for it is "bacterial SSU rRNA". It matches the Rfam family "Bacterial small subunit ribosomal RNA", at positions 396 to 1261 of the family's 1533-position model. The record is from RNAcentral. Lineage: Bacteria; Bacillati; Bacillota; Bacilli; Caryophanales; Bacillaceae.
GCCGCGUGAGUGAUGAAGGGUUUCGGCUCGUAAAGCUCUGUUAUGAGGGAAGAACACGUACCGUUCGAAUAGGGCGGUACCUUGACGGUACCUCAUCAGAAAGCCACGGCUAACUACGUGCCAGCAGCCGCGGUAAUACGUAGGUGGCAAGCGUUGUCCGGAAUUAUUGGGCGUAAAGCGCGCGCAGGCGGCCUUUUAAGUCUGAUGUGAAAUCUUGCGGCUCAACCGCAAGCGGCCAUUGGAAACUGGGAGGCUUGAGUACAGAAGAGGAGAGUGGAAUUCCACGUGUAGCGGUGAAAUGCGUAGAUAUGUGGAGGAACACCAGUGGCGAAGGCGACUCUCUGGUCUGUAACUGACGCUGAGGCGCGAAAGCGUGGGGAGCAAACAGGAUUAGAUACCCUGGUAGUCCACGCCGUAAACGAUGAGUGCUAGGUGUUAGGGGUUUCGAUGCCCGUAGUGCCGAAGUUAACACAUUAAGCACUCCGCCUGGGGAGUACGGCCGCAAGGCUGAAACUCAAAGGAAUUGACGGGGGCCCGCACAAGCAGUGGAGCAUGUGGUUUAAUUCGAAGCAACGCGAAGAACCUUACCAGGUCUUGACAUCCUUUGACCACUCUGGAGACAGAGCUUCCCCUUCGGGGGCAAAGUGACAGGUGGUGCAUGGUUGUCGUCAGCUCGUGUCGUGAGAUGUUGGGUUAAGUCCCGCAACGAGCGCAACCCUUGACCUUAGUUGCCAGCAUUUAGUUGGGCACUCUAAGUGACUGCCGGUGACAAACCGGAGGAAGGUGGGGAUGACGUCAAAUCAUCAUGCCCCUUAUGACCUGGGCUACACACGUGCUACAAUGGAUGGUACAAAGGGUUGCGAAGCCGCGAG